AAACGGGGUCUAAUACCGGAUAACACUUUCCCUCUCAUGGGGGAAGGUUAAAAGCUCCGGCGGUGAAGGAUGAGCCCGCGGCCUAUCAGCUAGUUGGUGGGGUAAUGGCCUACCAAGGCGACGACGGGUAGCCGGCCUGAGAGGGCGACCGGCCACACUGGGACUGAGACACGGCCCAGACUCCUACGGGAGGCAGCAGUGGGGAAUAUUGCACAAUGGGCGAAAGCCUGAUGCAGCGACGCCGCGUGAGGGAUGACGGCCUUCGGGUUGUAAACCUCUUUCAGCAGGGAAGAAGCGAAAGUGACGGUACCUGCAGAAGAAGCGCCGGCUAACUACGUGCCAGCAGCCGCGGUAAUACGUAGGGCGCAAGCGUUGUCCGGAAUUAUUGGGCGUAAAGAGCUCGUAGGCGGCUUGUUGCGUCGGUUGUGAAAGCCCGGGGCUUAACCCCGGGUCUGCAGUCGAUACGGGCAGGCUAGAGUGUGGUAGGGGAGAUCGGAAUUCCUGGUGUAGCGGUGAAAUGCGCAGAUAUCAGGAGGAACACCGGUGGCGAAGGCGGAUCUCUGGGCCAUUACUGACGCUGAGGAGCGAAAGCGUGGGGAGCAAACAGA
RNAcentral lists this ribosomal RNA (608 nucleotides) under Streptomyces sp. 136-FB. Its description in RNAcentral is "bacterial SSU rRNA". It matches the Rfam family "Bacterial small subunit ribosomal RNA", at positions 154 to 776 of the family's 1533-position model. Lineage: Bacteria; Bacillati; Actinomycetota; Actinomycetes; Kitasatosporales; Streptomycetaceae. The record is from RNAcentral.